Non-coding RNA from Cajanus cajan (pigeon pea), 2281 nucleotides. The record is from RefSeq and is a predicted model, not a curated record. NCBI's taxonomy places the organism in Eukaryota, Viridiplantae, Streptophyta, Magnoliopsida, Fabales, Fabaceae.
GAGUUAAAUAGUAAAGGGAAGCGAAAUCAUGAAGAAAAUAUACCAAAGCAAUGGAAAAAGAAAAGCAUAUUCUUUAAUUUGCCUUACUGGAAGGAUAAUCUUUUACGUAAUAAUCUUGAUGUCAUGCAUAUUGAGAAAAACGUUUGUGACAAUGUGUUGUAUACAUUGAUUAAAGAUGAAAAAUCAAAAGAUCACCUUGAAGCUCGUCAAGAUCUACAAGAUAUGGGAAUAAAAGAGGAUUUUUGGCUAGAUGAAAAUGGAAAAUAUCUUCCUUUAUUGUUUUCAAUGACAAAAGAAAAAAAGAAGAUAUUUCUAACUACAUUAAGGAACGUAAAAAUGCCAGAUGGUUACUCUAGUAACAUAUCUCGUUGCAUUGAUGAUCAAAACUCUAAGAUAUUUAGGUUGAAGAGUCACGAUUGUCACAUCCUCAUGCAACAUUUACUUCCACUAGCUAUACGUAAUGUUUUACCUGAUAGUGUGACUACAGUGUUGGUAGAGUUUUGCUCAUUUUUCAAGGAGUUAUGUUGUAAAAGAUUGAAUAUAUUAAAUCUUGACAGGCUACAAUAUCGGAUUGUGCUCACUCUUUGUCAUUUGGAAAUACUAUUACCCCCAUCAUUCUUUACAGUGAUGGUCCAUUUAACUUGUCAUCUUGUUGAAGAAGUGAAAUUGGGAGGGCUAGUGUAUUAUCGUUGGAUGUAUCCAAUUGAGAGGAUGUUGGGACAUUUGAAGUCCUUUGUACGAAAUAGGGCACAACCAGAAGGUUCUAUAAGUGAAGCUUAUUUGGCCGAAGAGACUCUUAAUAUUUACUCACUAUAUGAAGAAGUUGAGUCAAGGUUGAAUAGAAGUCGACGUGUUGAUGAUCGUCCUAAUGAUAAUGAAACAUCUCAAAUCAUUUAUCCUCAGUUAGGUAGACCAGUGGGAAGCUCAUCAACUUUCACUCUUACCCCAUUGGAAAAAAUACAAGCACAUCGAUAUUUAUUACUAAAUUGUCCAAAAGUUCAGUCAUAUGUGGAUGAUUUCAAGACAUUCACUAAGAGGAAGACAAGAAAUCGAAGGCUUUCAACUAUAGAGUUGGAAAAGAUAGUUAGUAAAGAAUUUGCGAGUUGGUUUCUUCAUCGGGUUACAAAUCCAGACAUUACAAAUGUAGUGCCAGAUGAAAUAAAGUAUUUAGCUAGGGGCCCAAUGCCAAUUGCAAGAAGAUAUACGGCAUACAACAUCAAUGGGUACAAGUUUAGAGUCAUAAAAUGAGAUGAAGGCUUAAAAACUCAAAAUAAUGGAGUUUUUCUAACUUCAAACACAUCAUGUGUUGCAAGUAGCUCUGAUGCAAAUUUAAGGCUAGCAGAUUUGCCGUAUUAUGGGAAGUUGGAAGACAUAAUUGAGCUUAAUUAUUAUGGUUUUCUUAGAGUUGUUCUCUUUAGAUGCAAAUGGGCAGAUACUACACGCCCAAGAGGAAUUAGAAAGGAUGCUUGGCAAUUUACUUCAGUGAAUUUUUCUCACUGUAUUCACACAGGUGAACGUGAAGAACAUGACCCCUAUAUUGAAGCUUCACAAGCACAAAUGGUGUAUUAUGUUGAUGAUGAGGUAAAUAAAGGGUGGAGUGUUGUUGUCCACAUGAUGCCAAGAGAUUUGUAUGAUAUGGGAGAAGUUGGGGAAGAUAUUAUAUUUGAAAGUGAGUCGUAUCAUGAGCAGGACUUGAGUAAUUUAUUUACAAAUGAAACAGAUACAAUAACCUUGGCAAGGGAUGAUGUAGAUGAUGAAAACCAAUUUCAAGGAGAUGCAAAUAUAAUUGAAUAAUUAAGACAAAUAUCACAAACUAAUUUAUUUUAUGGUCCAAAGUUGUACUCAAUAGUAGUCAUGCAUCCUAAAUUCAAGCAUUUUAAAAAAGAAGCAUCUCAAAGACAUUCUUUCAUCCCUCCUUUGGCUCGUACUCAACAUUCGCACAUUCCUCUUAUAACUUCUUUUCAAGAACCACACAUUACACCUAUGGCUCCUCCUCAACAGCAACAUAUUCCUCCUAUAGCUCCUCUUCAACAACCAUACAUUACACCUAUGGCUCCUCCUCAACAGCCACAUAUUCCUCCUAUAACUCCUCUUCAACAACCAGACAUUACACCUAUGGCUCCUCCUCAACAGCCAUAUAUUCUUCCCAUGGUUCCUCCUGAACAGUCGCAUAUUCCUCCCAUGGUUCCUCCUGAACAGCUGCAUAUUCCUCUCAUGGUUCCUCCUGAGUGUCGCCACCGGCCCGAAACGGGCUUUCGGCAUUCGCGAAUGAUGGUUGGAC